RNAcentral lists this unclassified non-coding RNA (328 nucleotides) under Hevea brasiliensis (rubber tree). The record is from RNAcentral. Lineage: Eukaryota; Viridiplantae; Streptophyta; Magnoliopsida; Malpighiales; Euphorbiaceae.
GUUGAGUUCUUCCUCUUGAGCGCAGGAUAGCCACUGACUCUUCCGAUUAAUUAAGAUAUAGGGACAAGCCAGAGCCAAAGCCAACGCGUCAAAGUCAAGUCAGGUUCAGCAAUCGACAUAACUGGUUCAAAUACCAGAAGCUAGGUCAUAGAAGGUAGAUUCGAUUCGACAAUCUUAAGUAGUGGAGUCAGCCCUUUGCCGAGAUACGAUACUGUCAGCCUCAGCUAAUCACUAGCUUCUGAAAGAAUAAUAUCGUCAAGUCGGAGAGGAAGAAAGGAAGAAGAAUGCCAUCAUAGAGGGAUCAGCAUGUAAACUUGAAGGGCUAGGG